This 87-nucleotide transfer RNA is filed under the name marine eukaryotic metagenome. It matches the Rfam family "tRNA". From Rfam's summary of the family: Transfer RNA (tRNA) molecules are approximately 80 nucleotides in length. Their secondary structure includes four short double-helical elements and three loops (D, anti-codon, and T loops). The record is from RNAcentral.
GAGGAGUGGCUGAGCGGUUGAAGGCGGCUGACUCGAAAUCAGUUGAAGGGAGUAUUCUCUUCCGUGGGUUCAAAUCCUACCUCCUCC